AAUUUCCUAAUUAUCUGUCUUUUAUUCCAUGCUCAAACAAAGAAAUGCUACUGCACACUCCUGGGCAUCGCGUAAUUUAGUUUGCACCUUGAAAAUUUAAAGCACCUGUGUUUGUUUUCUCCCCCUUUUGCAGGAAAGUGAUAUAAAGAAAACGACAGCUCCUUCCUUUUAUCACCCUGGAGUUGAAAUUUUCAGGCUACCACUUCAAAGGAAGAAUGUUCCAGAGCCUAAAGCCCACCACAUCUGGAUGAAACCCUCACGCCAAGCCCAAAGCCUCCAGUCUAAUGACAGGCAAGUCCUGGAGGGGAGAAAGCAGCUGGGGGAAGAGCUCCUUUAAGUCUCUGAUGAGUCUGGCUU
Molecule: long non-coding RNA, 357 nt
Filed under: Mustela putorius furo (domestic ferret)
Lineage: Eukaryota; Metazoa; Chordata; Mammalia; Carnivora; Mustelidae
Description: lncRNA (ENSMPUG00000026529.1)
Source: RNAcentral